This is a long non-coding RNA of Syngnathus typhle (broad-nosed pipefish), 736 nucleotides long. RefSeq lists it as uncharacterized. The record is from RefSeq and is a predicted model, not a curated record. The transcript has 2 exons. Lineage: Eukaryota; Metazoa; Chordata; Actinopteri; Syngnathiformes; Syngnathidae.
UGAUCUUGGCAGUUUUGCUCCUGGCCGGCUCGUUAUUUGGCGGCACGUGUUUUCAUUUAGGGCCUGAUUUAAAACAAAAAUGAAAAUUGGUGCUCAACCCCCACCACGCCCUUAAACGGCGACACUCGAAAGGCGAGGAAGCAACAAGGCGACGUCAGUCAUCCAGAAGAGCCGCUCGUCCGUUGUGAAGAUGUGGGAACCGCUUCCUGCCCUUCAACCAGAGCGCUGAGGUUGCGGGGGCGCGCGGCCUUUGGAUUCGUCUGAUUUAGGAGGCAGGAGCAUUGGAGAACCAUAAAAAUAAUCCCUGCUAAAUCACUACAGAAAACGAGGGGGAGAAGAAAUGGAGAAGGACAAGUGGAAAGAUGACAAACAACCUUGAAGAAACACAGAUGGAACAUUCUCACCGAGCGAGCGUUCAACAUGGUUCUCUUCAAUGGUGGGGUAGAAACGCCAUUGACGUCCAACGGUGUCCAAACUGCAAAGCGAGCUGUCAGUUGGUUCGCUGCGGACUGUCAGCUCGCCGAUCACGUCCGGAAACUCCAACGCCCCCAAGACGCGCACGCGCGCACGCACACACACACCACCGCUCUUUCGGCAGAAACGAUCCCCCCCCCCCGGUCCCAAAAGUGGCCGCGAACGUUGUGCUCUCAACGCCGGACGCGAAGCCGCAACAUCCAUCCUGGCGGCCGAGGUGAUGACUUUGUAACGUGACCCAUCAUGUGAAAAGCCCCAAAGA